GCAGCGGUGGUUCUGCGGUAGAACUUUCGCCUUCUGUGGGGGAGACCCUGGUUCAGUUCCUGGCCAAUGCA
This 71-nucleotide transfer RNA is filed under the name Loxodonta africana (African savanna elephant). It matches the Rfam family "tRNA". Rfam says of the family: Transfer RNA (tRNA) molecules are approximately 80 nucleotides in length. Their secondary structure includes four short double-helical elements and three loops (D, anti-codon, and T loops). Further hydrogen bonds mediate the characteristic L-shaped molecular structure. tRNAs have two regions of fundamental functional importance: the anti-codon, which is responsible for specific mRNA codon recognition, and the 3' end, to which the tRNAs corresponding amino acid is attached (by aminoacyl-tRNA synthetases). tRNAs cope with the degeneracy of the genetic code in two manners: having more than one tRNA (with a specific anti-codon) for a particular amino acid; and 'wobble' base-pairing, i.e. permitting non-standard base-pairing at the 3rd anti-codon position. Lineage: Eukaryota; Metazoa; Chordata; Mammalia; Proboscidea; Elephantidae. The record is from Rfam by way of RNAcentral.